AUGUGCCUCGGCCUCCUGUGCUGUGUGGCUCUUUUAUUCUGGGGAGCAGGCUCCAUGGACAUUGAGGUCACCCAGAGUCCCAGCCAUCUGGUCAAAGGAAAAGACCAGAGAGCAAAAAUGUACUGUGUCCCCAAAAAAGGACACUCUUAUGUUUACUGGUAUCGCAGGAAGCUGGAAGAAGCAUUCGAGUUCUUGGUUUACUUACAGGAUGAAAAAAUUAUAGAAGAUACAGACAUGUUCAAACAGAGAUUUUCAGCUGAGUGCCCCCAAACCUCACCCUGCAGCCUGGGAAUCAAGUCCACCAAGGCAUCAGACUCAGCUCUGUAUUUCUGUGCCAGCAGCCAGUCCACAGUGCUGCACGUCAGCUCUUCUUAG
Capra hircus (goat) is the source of this 375-nucleotide non-coding RNA. The record is from the annotation of a RefSeq genome assembly. NCBI's taxonomy places the organism in Eukaryota, Metazoa, Chordata, Mammalia, Artiodactyla, Bovidae.